GUCGAGGGGUAUAUGUCUUCGGAUAUAGAGACCGGCGCACGGGUGCGUAACGCGUAUGCAAUCUGCCUUUCACAGAGGGAUAGCCCAGAGAAAUUUGGAUUAAUACCUCAUAGUAUUAUGGAGUGGCAUCACUUUAUAAUUAAAGUCACAACGGUGAAAGAUGAGCAUGCGUCCCAUUAGCUAGUUGGUAAGGUAACGGCUUACCAAGGCAACGAUGGGUAGGGGUCCUGAGAGGGAGAUCCCCCACACUGGUACUGAGACACGGACCAGACUCCUACGGGAGGCAGCAGUGAGGAAUAUUGGACAAUGGGCGCAAGCCUGAUCCAGCCAUGCCGCGUGCAGGAUGACGGUCCUAUGGAUUGUAAACUGCUUUUGUACGAGAAGAAACACUCCUAUGUAUAGGAGCUUGACGGUAUCGUAAGAAUAAGGAUCGGCUAACUCCGUGCCAGCAGCCGCGGUAAUACGGAGGAUCCAAGCGUUAUCCGGAAUCAUUGGGUUUAAAGGGUCCGUAGGCGGUCUUGUAAGUCAGUGGUGAAAGCCCAUCGCUCAACGGUGGAACGGCCAUUGAUACUGCAGGACUUGAAUUAUUAGGAAGUAACUAGAAUAUGUAGUGUAGCGGUGAAAUGCUUAGAUAUUACAUGGAAUACCAAUUGCGAAGGCAGGUUACUACUAAUUGAUUGACGCUGAUGGACGAAAGCGUGGGGAGCGAACAGGAUUAGAUACCCUGGUAGUCCACGCCGUAAACGAUGGAUACUAGCUGUUGGGGGGCAACUUUCAGUGGCUAAACCGAAAGUGAUAAGUAUCCCACCCUGGGGGAGUACGUU
RNAcentral lists this ribosomal RNA (824 nucleotides) under Flavobacterium chungangense. RNAcentral's name for it is "bacterial SSU rRNA". It matches the Rfam family "Bacterial small subunit ribosomal RNA", at positions 61 to 886 of the family's 1533-position model. The record is from RNAcentral. Lineage: Bacteria; Pseudomonadati; Bacteroidota; Flavobacteriia; Flavobacteriales; Flavobacteriaceae.